GAGCGCCCCGCAAGGGGAACGGCAGACGGGUGAGUAACACGUGGGAACGUACCUUUUGCUACGGAACAACUCCGGGACAGCGGAGCUAAUACGGUAUGAGCCCUUGGGGGGUAAGAUUUAUCGGCAAGAGAUCGGCCCGCGUUGGAUUAGCUAGUUGGUGGGGUAAAGGCUUACCAAGGCGACGAUCCAUAGCUGGUCUGAGAGGAUGAUCAGCCACAUUGGGACUGAGACACGGCCCAGACUCCUACGGGAGGCAGCAGUGGGGAAUAUUGGACAAUGGGCGAAAGCCUGAUCCAGCCAUGCCGCGUGUGUGAAGAAGGUCUUCGGAUUGUAAAGCACUUUAAGUUGGGAGGAAGGGCAAUUACCUAAUACGUGAUUGUUUUGACGUUACCGACAGAAUAAGCACCGGCUAACUCUGUG
RNAcentral lists this ribosomal RNA (420 nucleotides) under uncultured bacterium. Its description in RNAcentral is "bacterial SSU rRNA". It matches the Rfam family "Bacterial small subunit ribosomal RNA", at positions 64 to 507 of the family's 1533-position model. The record is from RNAcentral.